GCCAAGUGAUGUGCCUGCUCCUGCUUCACCUUCCACCAUGAGUAAAAGCUCCCUGAGGCCUCACCAGAAGCUUAGCAGAUGCAGGUGCCAUGACUCCUGUAUAGCCUGCAGAACUGGUUGUGGAUUUGGGAAGAAGUGGUUCAGUCCACCACCUUGUUUUCCUCCUACCUAAUUUAAAUCGAUGCCAUGAAAGCCAUCAUAGAGAUGUUUUGUGAAAAUCAAAAGAAAAAUCAUGAGAGAAUUA
This is a long non-coding RNA of Sapajus apella (tufted capuchin), 244 nucleotides long. RefSeq lists it as uncharacterized. The record is from RefSeq and is a predicted model, not a curated record. NCBI's taxonomy places the organism in Eukaryota, Metazoa, Chordata, Mammalia, Primates, Cebidae. The transcript has 2 exons.